CCUACGGGGGGCAGCAGUGAGGAAUAUUGGUCAAUGGCCGAAGGGCUGAACCAGCCAAGCCGCGUGAGGGAGGAAGGUACAGAGUAUCGUAAACCUCUUUUGUCAGGGAACAAAGACUGGGACGCGUCCCCGGAUGAGUGUACCUGAAGAAAAAGCAUCGGCUAACUCCGUGCCAGCAGCCGCGGUAAUACGGAGGAUGCGAGCGUUAUCCGGAUUUAUUGGGUUUAAAGGGUGCGCAGGCGGUCUGUUAAGUCAGCGGUCAAAGCCCGGGGCUCAACCCCGGCUCGCCGUUGAAACUGGCAGUC
Molecule: ribosomal RNA, 305 nt
Filed under: uncultured bacterium
Lineage: Bacteria
Description: bacterial SSU rRNA
Rfam family: Bacterial small subunit ribosomal RNA
Source: RNAcentral